ACAGAGGGUGCAAGCGUUGUUCGGAAUUACUGGGCGUAAAGCGCGUGUAGGCCGUUCCGUGUGUCAGAUGUGAAAUACCCGGGCUCAACCCGGGACGUGCAUUUGAAACUGCGGAACUUGAGUAUGGGAGAGGGAAGCGGAAUUCCCGGUGUAGAAGUGAAAUUCGUAGAUAUCGGGAGGAACACCAGUGGCGAAGUCGGCUUCCUGGACCAUAACUGACGCUGAGACGCGAAAGCGUGGGUAGCAAACAG
Molecule: ribosomal RNA, 251 nt
Filed under: uncultured prokaryote
Description: partial 16S rRNA
Rfam family: Bacterial small subunit ribosomal RNA
Source: RNAcentral